AGCAGCCGCCGCGGUAAUACGUGGGUGGCAAGCGUUGUCCGGAUUUAUUGGGCGUAAAGCGAGCGCAGGCGGUUUCUUAAGUCUGAUGUGAAAGCCCCCGGCUCAACCGGGGAGGGUCAUUGGAAACUGGGAGACUUGAGUGCAGAAGAGGAGAGUGGAAUUCCAUGUGUAGCGGUGAAAUGCGUAGAUAUAUGGAGGAACACCAGUGGCGAAGGCGGCUCUCUGGUCUGUAACUGACGCUGAGGCUCGAAAGCGUGGGGAGCGAACAGGAUUAGAUACCCCUGUAGUCCCUGUCUCUUAUAC
Molecule: ribosomal RNA, 303 nt
Filed under: uncultured bacterium
Lineage: Bacteria
Description: partial 16S ribosomal RNA
Rfam family: Bacterial small subunit ribosomal RNA
Source: RNAcentral